CCAACCUCUCCGAUCCAGAGGAGAAUAUUUGUGCAGAAAUUCGAGCAUUAACUAACAUGAAACAAUAACUAAUGUUAUGAACAAUGCAAUCAAAAGAGUCAGACUUUGCCAAGCAGAAAAUGGAGCUCAUUUAACCCCUUAAGGACUGGACUGUUUUUGCGAUGUUGUACAUUUGCGACCAGGCCUCUUUUUACACUUUUGUGGUGUUUGUGUUUAGCUGUAAUUUUCCGCUCUCUCAUUUACUGUUCCCAUACAAAUUAUAUAUUGUUUUUUUUCAGGACAAAAGGGGCUUUCUUUACAUACCAUUAUUUAUAUAAUCUCAUGUAAUUUAAUUUAAAAA
Molecule: non-coding RNA, 340 nt
Organism: Pelobates cultripes (western spadefoot toad)
Lineage: Eukaryota; Metazoa; Chordata; Amphibia; Anura; Pelobatidae
Source: the annotation of a GenBank genome assembly